Molecule: long non-coding RNA, 4533 nt
Organism: Piliocolobus tephrosceles (Ugandan red Colobus)
Lineage: Eukaryota; Metazoa; Chordata; Mammalia; Primates; Cercopithecidae
Source: Ensembl
AGAUGUAAGUAGAAAUGUAAGUAAAGACGUAAGUAAAGACGUAAGUAAAGACGUAAGUAAGGACAUAAGUAAGGACGUAAUUAAAGACAUAAGUAAGGACGUAAGUAAAGAGGUAAGCUUAAUUAAUAGUGACAUAAAAAUAGUUAAUACUACGAAUAUAAUGAGUGAAGACAUAAACAAUGCGGAAGUAAUAAAAGGGGUUGGCGUAGUAAAUGGUGUAAUAAUAAGUUAUUUGUAUGAAAAUGAAAAAAAUGAAAAAUGUGAAGAGUAUAAUAGUUCACCAAUACGUGAAGCUAUUAUUGACAUUAACGAUGCUCACUUAUUAAAAAAGGACAACUUAAGUGAAAAUCCUAUUAUUUUAGAUUGUAAAAAAUUAGAAAAACAGACAACUACUACUACUACUGCUACUACUACCACUAAUAAUAAUGAUGAGUAUCCUCAGUUGUUUGUUAAAGUUGGUGCAAGUAGCAGUGAAAGUUUAUUAGAAAAUAAAAAAAAAGAAUACAUUCUAGAAAAUGGGAAAAAAGAAUGUGUAUUGGCAGAGGACAUGCAUAAAGAGUUGGUAUUAAAAGAAGAUAUAGAUAAUUUUCAAAAUGACAUUGUAUAUACAGCUAGUUUGCAAAAAAGUAAUAUACUAAAAGAUAAACUACAAAAAAAUGAUGAAAAUAAAACUGACUCACAAGACGAAAUACUUAUAAAUACUACCAAGAACGUUGAUAAAGAAUGUAUCGAAAUUUUAAAAGAAAAAGAAAAUAAAGAAAUAACUAAUGCACUUGAAAUAUGUAGUGAUAAUAAUGAUAAGGAUGAGAAUGAUCCAGAACAACAUGUUAGAAGUACUAGAAAACGUAAAGUAACAUACACUGCUUUUUUUUCAAGUACCACGAGCUCAGAAAGUGUUUAUUACAAGUCCAAAUAUUACCACUUACAAAAACAGAAAAAUAAAAAAAAAAAUUAAAAAAAAAAAUUUGAAAAGGUCAAAAAUGAAGGAAAAGACAGAAACAAAGACAGGAACAAGAACGGGAACAGGUACGGGAACAGGGACAAAGAUAAAAAGAAAAAAGAAAUUAAACAUUAGUGAUAGUGUUCGUGAUGGUAGUAAAAAUGUAGUGGAACAAAUUGAGCAAAUUGAGAUAGGCAAUGAAAAAACAGAAAUAGGUUUUUCAGUAAAAGGGUCAGUCGAGGAAAAAGUAGAUCUUAUUAUGACAAAAGAUGGGGCAAGUAAGACCCAAAAAAAACAUAAAAAUAUAAAUAUACCGUAUAUAGAAAAAAAUAAUAAUAAAGAUAAACUUGGCUUAAAUAAAAGUAUAGGGAAAAAUAAAGAAUAUGUUAGUAACAAUGAAAUGAAUAUAAUCGAAGAAGAUAUGAAUAUGUUUGAUGAUAAAAACAAAGUAGGCGAAAAUCUUGGUAAAAUUAUUGGUACUAAAAAAAAUAAGAACAUAAAAUAUAUAAAUAACAAAGAGAAGGAGAAAGAAAAAGGAAAAGAGAAGAAUAAGGACAUUGUCAGUAAAAAAAAAAGCAGGGAUAAAAGCCAAGACGAAAAAAAUUUAAUUUUUAAGUUAUCGUUAAGUAAUAGUGAUACAGAUUUAUUAUUAAUGCAAAGUAGAAGUAAGAACAAAACAAAAUGUAACUUAUUUUAUAAUGAACAAAAUGUUAAUAACAAUAAUGUUAUUAUCUCAGACAUAGAUAAUAAUAGUACUUCAACAAAUGCAACAUGUUCUUCAAUAGCUUAUAAUAUAAGUGUUGAAAGUACCACAAACAAUAAUGAUUAUAGUAAAGUAAUUAUAGAGAGACAAAACGAGCAUGAAGGUACAACAAUAAAACAAGAACAUAGUAAAAAUAAUAAAAAUUAUUUUGAUAAAAUAAAGCAAGAACCGUUUACAAACGAAAAUAAACAACUAGAUAAAAACUUUUUAGAUACAUGUCAAAUAUAUAUAAAUGAAAAAAUGGUUGAAUGUACACAAAAAUUAGAACGCCAUUUCAAAAUUUGUGUUUUAUAUUUAUUUAAUCAUUAUAUUAUUGGAGGUAUACAUUUAAUUAACCCAUAUAAUAUUUUAGAAAAACAAAGAUACCAUUAUUUUGUUGAAACACACACAAAUAAUAAUUUAAAAAAUAAAAUUAAAAUUUUUAAAUAUACAGAUGAUAUGGUUUUUUUCGAUACAUUGAAAAUAAAAAGUAAAGUUUGUCUGAUGGGUGAACAAAACAGCUACCAUAGUAUGAACCGUCAAUUCGACAUUCUUAGUGGUGAUGAUGUUAAAGACAUUUACAAUACCAACAAUUUAAAGAGCAAGAAUAAUACAAUCGAUAAAAACAAUCACAAUAAAAAUGACAGUCACAAUAACAAUCGUGUUUUACAUAUUAUACAACGAGAAGGAAAAGGAAUAAAUGGGAGCAUAUAUAAAUGUACUGUAAACGAUAAAUUAUUCGCUUGUAAGGUUCAAAAAAAAUUAUAUUUAGCGAAAAAAGAAAUUUAUUUUGCAUAUAUUUUAAAUUUAAGAAAACAGCAAAAAAUAAAAAAAUACUCCAAUGAAAAAUAUAUAAAUUAUAGUAACAAACAAUUAUUGGAAGAUAUAUAUGAAAAAGGAAAUAACUACAUUCUACCAAAAGAAUUACAUUUUAAAGUAUUAAAUGGAAAAAAUAAAAAAAAAAUUAAAAAAAAAAAAUUGAAUAACGAUAAUGUAUAUCGUAAUGAUACAUAUAAUAAUGAUAGAUAUAAUAAUGGUACAUAUUUUAAUGGUAUAUAUCCGAAUAGUAUCGAUUAUGUUAGUGAUAAACAUAAUGGAAAGUUGAACAAAACAAAAUUAAUAAAAAAAAUUAAAGAAGAACAUCCAUGUUAUGAAAACGGUAACUCCAUAUUACUUAUGGAUACAUAUAAAGACGUUCUUACUUUAAAUCAAAUUAUAAAUGUUUUUAUUAAAAAAAAUUAUAAAAAUAUUAACGAAGAAUUUAUUUUAUAUAUUAUAUACCAGCUGAUAAUAGCAGUUUUACAACUCCAUUCGUUAAGUGUAUUGCACGGAGAUAUAAAAAUAGAUAACAUUUUAAUCGUAAAAAAUGAAAAAAAAAUGUAUAAUAAUAUGACAGAAGAGAAAAAAAACUUGUCGGAGGUUAAAUAUAUGACCCAGCAACUGCUUAACAAAAAAAAAAACAACAAUAAUUAUAAUGGCAAUGGUAAUGAUAGAAACAGUGAUAGCAACAGUAGCAACAAUAAUAAUAAAAACAAAAAAAAAAACUCAAUGUUAUAUGAAACAAAAUCACGUGUAAAAAAAUAUAAAGAGUAUCGUAAUUCUUUAAGAGCAUGUAAAAAAAUGGCAUUACAUAACCAAGCGGAUUGUGUGAGUACAAAAGAAAUUAGAAGCUAUUUUUUAAAUAAUAUGUCACUACAUGAUAAUAAUAAUGGUUGUAAUUAUAAUGGUUGUAAUAAUAAUGGUUGUAAUAAUAAUAGUUGUAAUAAUAAUGGUUGUAAUAAUAAUGGUUGUAAUAAUAAUGGUUGUAAUAAUAAUAGCUGUAGUAAUAGUGACAAGAGGUCAAAAAGAAAGCCAUUUUUAAAGAGUGACUUUUUAUUAAACUUAUUUUUAAUUGAUAUAGGACGUGGGAUUGACAUGAAUAAUUAUAAAAAACAUCUUUUUUAUGGAAAUAAACAUUGUGACUGUUAUAAUUUUUUAGACAAUUCAAUUUAUAAUUACCAUAUAGAUUUUAUAGGUAUUGCUCAAGUAGCUAGCUGUUUAUUAUUUUUAAAACAUAUUGGUCAUGUAAAAUAUAAAUAUGAUAAAAAUAUAUUUGAUAAAAAUAAAAUUAAAGUUAACAAUUUAUUUAUAACAUACGCAACACAUAAUGUUCAUUUUGUUAACAGUAACAAUGGUGACAAUGCUAAAGAGUAUAGAAAAAAGAAAACUGCUAUAAAAGAAUAUAAUGCAGUAACAGAUAUGUAUGAUUGUAUGGGUACAUGGACGAACAUACAAACACAAGCUGGUUUGAAACCGGAUUAUCAAAUGCUUUACCAAAUAAAUCAGCGAGUGGAUUCUCAAAUGGGAAAAGUCGUAUACGACAAAAACAGAGAGAAUGGAGAUGAGGACACAAGUGUUGAAGAAAAUGUAAAAAAAAGCACAAACAGAAAUUUAGAAAAAAGCGUACAUACAAAACAUACCAAAAAAAAGUACCAAAAAAUUGACGAAUUCAUUAAAGCCAAAGAAAAUUUAUAUAAGGAGAAAAAAAAAAAUAAUGAUGAACAAAAUUCGUUAUUUAUGCCUAUACGUAAUAAAUACGACGUUUUUAAAAAAAUGAGUACAGUUAUAAUACCAAACGAAAAAAAAAAAAAAAAAAACAGACAAAAUGGACAAAGAAAGAGAUAAUAUGAGCCAUUAUCCAAGUAAUAACAUCCAUUUUGAAAACAUUAUGACACAAAACAAAAAUGUAAUAGCAAACAAAAUAGAUAAAACAACAGAUAAUAACGAUGAUAUAUUUUUAAUAGACUAUUCUAAACUCUUAUUUAUAGAUACGCAAAAUAAAAACAAAACGAAUAAUUAUCUAAAUGAAAUA